AUUGAACGCUGGCGGAAUGCUUUACACAUGCAAGUCGAACGGCAGCACGGACUUCGGUCUGGUGGCGAGUGGCGAACGGGUGAGUAAUACAUCGGAACGUGCCCAGUCGUGGGGGAUAACGUAGCGAAAGCUACGCUAAUACCGCAUACGAUCUAAGGAUGAAAGCGGGGGAUCGCAAGACCUCGCGCGAUUGGAGCGGCCGAUGGCAGAUUAGGUAGUUGGUAGGGUAAAGGCCUACCAAGCCGACGAUCUGUAGCUGGUCUGAGAGGAUGAUCAGCCACACUGGGACUGAGACACGGCCCAGACACCUGAGGGAGGCAGCAGUGGGGAAUUUUGGACAAUGGGCGCAAGCCUGAUCCAGCCAUUCCGCGUGCAGGAUGAAGGCCUUCGGGUUGUAAAUUGCUUUUGUACAGAACGAAAAGGCUCUGGUUAAUACCCGGGGCUCAUGACGGUACUGUAAGAAUAAGCACCGGCUAACUACGUGCCAGCAGCCGCGGUAA
RNAcentral lists this ribosomal RNA (500 nucleotides) under uncultured bacterium. Its description in RNAcentral is "partial 16S ribosomal RNA". It matches the Rfam family "Bacterial small subunit ribosomal RNA", at positions 30 to 523 of the family's 1533-position model. The record is from RNAcentral.